UACGAAGGGGGCUAGCGUUGUUCGGAAUUACUGGGCUUAAAGCGCACGUAGGCGGUGUCGUAAGUGUCAGGUGAAAUCCCACGGCUCACCCGUGGAACUGCCUGGCAUACUGCGAUACUCGAGUGUGGUAGGGGAGAGCGGAACUCCUGGUGGAGCGGUGAAAUGCGUAGAUAUCAGGAGGAACACCGGUGGCGAAGGCGGCUCUCUGGUCCACAACUGACGCUGAGGUGCGAAAGCUAGGGGAGCAAACGGG
RNAcentral lists this ribosomal RNA (253 nucleotides) under uncultured bacterium. Its description in RNAcentral is "partial 16S ribosomal RNA". It matches the Rfam family "Bacterial small subunit ribosomal RNA", at positions 524 to 776 of the family's 1533-position model. The record is from RNAcentral.